This 1103-nucleotide ribosomal RNA is filed under the name uncultured Fusobacterium sp. RNAcentral describes it as "bacterial SSU rRNA". The stretch from base 1 to 830 matches the Rfam family "Bacterial small subunit ribosomal RNA". Lineage: Bacteria; Fusobacteriati; Fusobacteriota; Fusobacteriia; Fusobacteriales; Fusobacteriaceae. The record is from RNAcentral.
GAUGAACGCUGACAGAAUGCUCAACACAUGCAAGUCGACUCGAGUCUUCGGACUUGGGUGGCGCACGGGUGAGUAACGCGUAAAGAACUUGCCUCUUAGGCCGGGACAACAUCUGGAAACGGAUGCUAAUACCGGAUAUUAUGGUUUUUUCGCAUGGGGGAAUCAUGAAAGCUAGAUGCGCUAAGAGAGAGCUUUGCGUCCCAUUAGCUGGUUGGUGAGGUAACGGCCCACCAAGGCAAUGAUGGGUAGCCGGCCUGAGAGGGUGAACGGCCACAAGGGGACUGAGACACGGCCCUUACUCCUACGGGAGGCAGCAGUGGGGAAUAUUGGACAAUGGACCGCAAGUCUGAUCCAGCAAUUCUGUGUGCACGAUGACGUUUUUCGGAAUGUAAAGUGCUUUCAGUCGGGAAGAAGUCAGUGACGGUACCGACAGAAGAAGCGACGGCUAAAUACGUGCCAGCAGCCGCGGUAAUACGUAUGUCGCAAGCGUUAUCGGGAUUUAUUGGGCGUAAAGCGCGUCUAGGCGGCAAGGAAAGUCUGAUGUGAAAAUGCGGAGCUCAACUCCGUAUGGCGUUGGAAACUGCCUUACUAGAGUACUGGAGAGGUAGGCGGAACUACAAGUGUAGAGGUGAAAUUCGUAUAUAUUUGUAGGAAUGCCGAUGGGGAAUCCAGCCUACUGGACAGAUACUGACGCUAAAUCGCGAAAGCGUGGGUAUCAAACUGGAUUAUAUACCCUGGUAGUCCAAGGGCUAAUUCCACAGUGGAUAUCAUGUUUAUUGAUACUGUCGACCUCGAGGGGGGGAUAAAAAAACCCAGCUAUUGUUUCCUUUAUUAGUGUUAAUUAAAGUGUUAUGGUGUGAUAACCUUCAAUAAAUAACAUAUUGUGUAUCUACAUGAAUUGAUUUGCACAUUGUAUGAUAUUUUCUUUUAAUAUUAUAGUGUGUUCUUCUGCCUGUGUGUGCUGUGUGUAUUCUUGUUCAUGUGUGUUGUAUCCUACCUCAUGCUUUUCUGCCUUGCAUCUGCCAUUGGUAUAUUGUUUGUUGCCUGCUUAAUUGUGUGCUUGCUUGCUUUGUGACUUGCAUACUGUUACUCUACCUGCCAAG